Molecule: ribosomal RNA, 265 nt
Filed under: uncultured archaeon
Lineage: Archaea
Description: partial 16S ribosomal RNA
Rfam family: Archaeal small subunit ribosomal RNA
Source: RNAcentral
AGUCACUGACAUUAGAUACCCCUGUAGUCCAGGGUGUAAACGCUGCAGACUUGGUGUUGGAGGCCCUUUGGGGGCAUUCAGUGCCGGAGAGAAGUUGUUAAGUCUGCUACUUGGGGUGUACGUCCGCAAGGAUGAAACUUAAAGGAAUUGGCGGGGGAGCACCGCAACGGGAGGAGCGUGCGGUUUAAUUGGAUUCAACACCGUAAAACUCACCAGGGAAGACUGUUACAUGAAGGCCGAGAUGAAGACUCUGCUAGAUUUUCAG